This is a long non-coding RNA of Oreochromis niloticus (Nile tilapia), 431 nucleotides long. RefSeq lists it as uncharacterized. NCBI's taxonomy places the organism in Eukaryota, Metazoa, Chordata, Actinopteri, Cichliformes, Cichlidae. The transcript has 2 exons. The record is from RefSeq and is a predicted model, not a curated record.
GCUCAGUGUUUCUCAUGGCUGGAUGGUUGUACUACUAGCGUCAGUGUAGCCCCGGCUCUCUCCUACUCGUGUGAUGUCUUUACCUUCAUCGUUACUGGAUUCUAAUUGCCUGUCCAGAUUUCCCUGGAUCUGUCCCUGUUUCCUCCCUGGAUACCUGAGCAUGAGUUUGGAAGAUCAUGUGUGUUUCUGGCAGUGUGGGGUGCACAGACGAGGAGCGUGGCUGUGUGACAGCAGCGUAGUGUGAACCAGCCGUGACCUCUGAUUACUGCUGAGAGCCUUGAAGGACGAAUGGAAGAACUCUAGUACUGGUAACAAUAAGGCUGCAGGGAUGAGGUUUAGAUAACAAUGUGCAGUCCCACAAUUCUGUGUGUAUCCUUCAAGAAGAUCAAUAAGAAUGUCCAGAUGCACCCAGGACAGCUAUUUUUUUUAAU